GAAAUACUGUAAAGUUGAUUUGCCUAUAACAUCUGUCAUUUCAUUGAUUGACAGGACUGAUUUGUUUGAUAUGGCUGGUUUGGCAGGUGUUCCCUUCCUUCCUCACCACUCCACAUACAUCCAUCUUGAAGCAGCACACUUAGUUGUUAAGAGAAGAAGAGAAACCAUGUAUCUGUUCAAGGGUACAGAGCAGCUGUGUCCCUCUACUAGAAGCUCUGUGGUAAAAUUCUCAUCAAUAAAACUGCCUGUGCUACCUUUGCAACUUUUUUGAAUAUAGUAGUUACU
Molecule: non-coding RNA, 285 nt
Organism: Cavia porcellus (domestic guinea pig)
Lineage: Eukaryota; Metazoa; Chordata; Mammalia; Rodentia; Caviidae
Source: Rfam